CUCAGAGAUGACCAAUCUUAUGAGCAGGGGUCCUGAAAAUCUGUCAUGGACGAGCCCUCGCUUUGUGGAAACAACUAGAUCUUCCUCUUCUCUGACAUCAUUACCUCUCGCGACCUCACUUUCUCCUGUGUCCUCUACAUUACUAGAGAGUAGCCCCUCCUCUCCUCUUCCUGUGACUUCACUUAUCCUCCCAGGCCUGGUGAAGACUACGGAAGUGUUGGACACAAGCUCAGAGCCUAAAACCAGUUCAUCUCCAAAUCUGAGCAGCACCUCAGUUGAAAUACCAGCCACCUCUGAAAUCAUCACAGAUACAGAGAAAAUUCAUCCUACCUCAAACACAGCGGUGACCAAAGUGGGGACCUCCAGUUCUGUUCAUGAAUCUCAUUCCUCUGUCCUAGCUGACUCAGAAACAACCAUGACCACACCUUCAAUGGGUAUCACCUCCCCUGUGGAGGACACCACUGUUUUCACAUCAAUUCCUGCCUUCUCUGAGACUAGGAGGAUUCCGACAGAGCCCACAUUCUCACUGACUCCUGGAUUCAGGGAGACUAGCACCCCUGAAGAGACCAGCUCAAUCACAGAAACAAGUGCAGUCCUUUUUGGAGUGCCCACUAGUGCUACUACUGAGGUCUCUGUGACAGAAAUCAUGUCCUCUAACAGAACACACAUCCCUGACCCUGAUCAGUCCACAAUGUCUCCAGACAUCAUCACUGAAGUGAUCACCAGGCUCUCUUCCUCAUCCAUGAUGUCAGAAUCAACAGAAAUGACCAUCACCACCCAAACAAGUUCUCCUGAGGCUACAACACAGAGUACCCUUACCUUGGCCACAACAACAGCACCCUUGGCAAAGACCCAUUCAACUGUUCCUCCAAGAUUUUUACACUCAGAGAUGACAACUCUUAUGAGCAGGAGUCCUGAAAAUCCAUCAUGGAAGAGCUCUCCCUUUGUGGAAAAAACUAGCUCUUCCUCUUCUCUGUUGUCCUUACCUGUCAAGACGUCACCUUCUGUUUCUUCCACAUUACUACAGAGUAUCUCUUCCUCUUCUUUUCCUGUGACUUCGCUCCUCACCCCAGGCAUGGUGAAGACUACAGACAUAAGCACAGAACCUGGAACCAGUUUAUCUCCAAAUCUGAGCAGCACCUCAGUUGAAAUACUGGCUGCCUCUGAAGUCACCACAGAUACAGAGAAAAUUCACCCUUCUUCAAGCAUGGCAGUGACCAAUGUGGGAACCACUAAUUCUGGACAUGAACUAUAUUCCUCUGUUUCAAUCCACUUGGAGCCAUCCAAGGCUACAUACCCAGUGGGUACUUCCUCUUCCAUGGCCGAAACCACUAUUUCCACAUCAACGCCUGCCAAUAUUGAGACCACAAGAUCUGAGGCAGAGCCAUUUUCUCAUUUGACUUCUGCAUUUAGGAAGACUAACACGUCCCUGGACACCAGCUCAGUCACACCAACAAAUACACCUUCUUCUCCUGGGUCUACUCAUCUUUUACAGAGUUCCAAGACUGAUUUCACCUCUUCUGUGAAAACAUCAUCCCCAGACCGGCCUCCAGUCUCACAGUAUACUGAAAUUCCAGUGGACAUAAUCACCCCCUUUAAUGCUUCUCCAUCUAUUAUGGAGUCCACUGGAGUAACCUCCUUCCCAGAAUCCAAGUUUACUAUGUCUGUAACAGAAAGUACUCAUCAUCUGAGUACAGAUUUGCUGCCUUCAGCUGAGACUAUUUCCACUGGCACAGUGAUGCCUUCUCUAUCAGAGGCUGUGACUUCAUUUGCCACCACUGGGGUUCCACGAGUCAUCUCGGGUUCAGGUAGUCCAUUCUCUAGGACAGAGUCAGGCCCUGGGGAUGCUACUCUGUCCACCAUUGCAGAGAGCCUGCCUUCAUCCACUCCUGUGCCAUUCUCCUUUUCAACCUUCACUACCACUGAUUCUUCAACCAUCCCAGCCCUCCAUGGGAUAACUUCCUCUUCAGUUACUCCACAUAGAGUGGACACCAGUCUUGGGACAGAGAGCAGCACUACUGAAGGACACUUCGUUAUGGUCAGUACUUUGGACACUUCGAGCCAACCAGCCAGGACAUCUUCAUCACCCAUUUUGGAUACCAGAAUGACAGAGAGCGCUGAGCUGGGAACAGUGACAAGUGCUUAUCAAGUUCCUUCACUCUCAACACGGUUGACAAGAACUGAUGGCAUUAUGGAGCACAUCACAAAAAUACCCAGUGAAGCAGCACACAGAGGUACCAUAAGACCAGUCAAAGGUCCUCAGACAUCCACAUUGCCUGCCAGUCCUAAAGGACUACACACGGGAGGGACAAAAAGAAUGGAGACCACCACCACAGCUCUGAAGACCACCACCACAGCUCCGAAGACCACUUCCAGAGCCAUCUUGACCACCAGUGUCUAUACUUCUACUUUGGGAACACUGACUCCCCUCAAUGCAUCAGUGCAAAUGGCCAGCACAAGUACCACAGAAAUGACGAUCACAACCCCAUAUGUUUCCCCUGAUGUUCCAGAAAUGACAUCCUCAUUGGCUACCAGCCUGGGAGCAGAAACCAGCGCAGCUCUUCCCAGGACCACCCCAUCUGUUUUCAAUAGAAAAUCAGAGACCACAGCCUCACUGGUCCCUAGUUCUGAGGCAGAGACAAGUCCAGCUAUUCAAACUCUAGAUGUUUCUUCUAGUGAGCCAGAUACAACAGCUUCAUGGGUUAUCCAUCCUGCAGAGACCAUCCCAACUGUUUCCAAGACAACCACCAGUUUUUUCCACAGUGAAUCACACACUGUAUCUUCCACAGCCACAAGUCAUGGGGUAGAAGUCAGCUCAGCCAUUCCAACAAAUAUCUUACCUAGUGAACCAGAUGCACUGACCCCACUGGUCACUAUUUCUGGGACAGAUGCUAGUACAACAUUCCCAACACUGACUAAGUCCCCACAUGAAACACAGACAAGAACCACAUGGCUCUCUCAUCCUGCAGAGACCGGCUCAACCAUUUCCAGAACAAUCCCCAAUUUUUCCCAUCGUGAAUCAGAUGCCACACUUUCAGUGGCCACCAGUCCUGGGGCAGAAACCAGUUCAGCGAUUCCAACUAUGACUGUCUCACCUGGUGCAGCAGAUCUGGUGACCUCACAGGUCACUAGUUCUGGAACAGACCGAAAUAUGACUAUUCCAACUUUGAGUCUUUCUUCUGGUGAACCAAAGACCACAGCCUCAUUAGUCACCCAUCCUGAAGCACAGACAAGUUCGGCCAUUCCAACUUCAACUAUCUUGCCUGGUGUAUCACGGAUGGUGACCUCAAUGGUCACCAGUUUGGCGGCAGAGACAAGUACAACUAAUCCAGCUCUGACAAGCUCCCCUGGUGAACCAGCUACCACAGAUUCAUUGGUCACGCAUCCUGCACAGACCAGCCCAACAGUUCCCUGGACAACUUCCAUUUUUUUUCAUAGUAAAUCAGACACCAUACCUUCAAUGGCCACCAGUCAUGGGGCACAAUCCAGUUCAGCUGUCCCAAUUCCAACUGUUUCACCUGGAGUACCAGGAGUGGUAACCCCUGUGGUCACUAGUUCUAUGACAGUGACAGGUACAACUACUCCAAUUCUGACUCUUUCUGCUGGUGAACCAGAGACCACACCUUCAAUGGCCACCAGUCAUGAGGCAGAAGCCAGCUCAGCUGUUCCAGCUGUUUCACCUGGGGUACCAGGAGUGGUGACCUCUCUGGUCACUAGUUCUAGGGCAGUGACCAGUACAACUAUUCCAAUUCUGACUCUUUCUCCUGGUGAACCAGAGACAACACCUUCAAUGGCCACCAGUCAUGAGGCAGAAGUCAGCUCAGCUGUUCCAACUGUUUCACCUAGGGUACCAGAAGUGGUGACCUCUCUGGUCACUAGUUCUAGGGCCAGUGACAGUACAACCUAUUCCAACUCUGACUCUUCUUCUGGUGAACCAGAGACACACCUUCCAAUGGCCACCAGUCAAAAGGACAGAAGGGGCAGAAGCCAGCUCUGCUGUUCCAACUCCAACUGUUUCACCUGAGGUACCAGAAGUGGUGACCUCUCUGGUCACUAGUUCUAUGGCAGUG
This 4070-nucleotide long non-coding RNA is filed under the name Macaca nemestrina (pig-tailed macaque). RNAcentral's name for it is "lncRNA (ENSMNEG00000045586.1)". Lineage: Eukaryota; Metazoa; Chordata; Mammalia; Primates; Cercopithecidae. The record is from RNAcentral.